Molecule: long non-coding RNA, 429 nt
Organism: Vigna unguiculata (cowpea)
Lineage: Eukaryota; Viridiplantae; Streptophyta; Magnoliopsida; Fabales; Fabaceae
Source: RefSeq, a predicted model, not a curated record
CACUCACCCCUCACUCUUCACAGAAUCAGCCGUCACGUCUUCUACUCCGAGAGAGAGCUCUGCUAGGGUUCAGCCGCUUUUCGCAUCCAGUGGACUCGAAUCAGUUUUCCGCUUCUCUUCCUAAGCAUACUCUAGAGCCGUGGUGUCCAUGGUUGCCGUUGAGUUCCUGUACUAGCAUAUUCCAGACGCGAGAGGUAACCGUGGUCAACGAGGGAGAGACGAACCCGCUGCUUAGUCUUCUUGGGUCGGACUUUCGGUCUUUCUUGGUCUAUCUUUAGGACUACAGCCCAUGUACUUGUCCGCUUUUAUAUCUUGCUAGGAUUCCAGUAAAUCAUUUAAAUGUUUCUUUUAUUUUUUGUGGCAUCGUGGUGUGCCUUGAUUUGUACGGCGUUAUGUUUAAAUUCCAGGACUACAUGGUUAUAUUAUCAU